Molecule: unclassified non-coding RNA, 369 nt
Filed under: Hevea brasiliensis (rubber tree)
Lineage: Eukaryota; Viridiplantae; Streptophyta; Magnoliopsida; Malpighiales; Euphorbiaceae
Source: RNAcentral
UAAUGAUUCUGAAUGCCGGGACCAUGGAGGCCUAGGGUAUGGGAGUACUUUGUGUCGUAUUAGGGUAUAGGACAAAUUACUGGUAAUAACUCAUGGAUAGCCUGUUGAUUGUGUUGAAAUGGAAGAUUUACGUGUAACUUGGAGGAAAAUUGGGUCACGUAACAUGAUAAGCAAGGUGUUAUGCUUUACAUACCUGAUUUACUUACAUUUUCAGAAACCUUAUGGAGUUCAAGUGUUACGAGUUAGCAACUCUAGAGAUAGCAUUUGACCCUAUUGUACCAGGGUCUGCUUUGUCAUAUUCUGCUAAUUUGUCUCAUCAGUAUGCUUAUUAUUUUUUCCAAGGGAAAUAACAUUGUCGAUUUGAACUAG